GGCGGUACUUGGGUGACACACCCUGGAAUCGGGCUCCCUUCUCUCUGUUUCCAGGGUGCGUCACCCAAGAACCGCC
This is a non-coding RNA of Myotis lucifugus (little brown bat), 76 nucleotides long. The record is from Rfam. Lineage: Eukaryota; Metazoa; Chordata; Mammalia; Chiroptera; Vespertilionidae.